RNAcentral lists this long non-coding RNA (401 nucleotides) under Hordeum vulgare. RNAcentral's name for it is "long non-coding RNA (HVUL_LNC013824)". Lineage: Eukaryota; Viridiplantae; Streptophyta; Magnoliopsida; Poales; Poaceae. The record is from RNAcentral.
ACAUGUCAUUUUUCCCAGAUGAAAUCCGGUACUUUAUUUAUAUGCAAUCCAAUAUACCUACUAAUAAUUACAUAAGUCCUAACAUAGAAUAAAUCUAAAACAUGACUAAAACGUAAGUAGUUGUCAAACUAAGUACUAAACAAUACUUGGCCUAAAGCUACAUUAGUACACAAACUAGUACUAAUACUAACUAGUACUAAACAGAAAAGUAAGAAAAAGAAAGAAAAAAAACACACACACACGGCCACAAGGGCUAGCCUGAGGCAACCCAGCCAAUACGGCUUGGCUUUGCUCCACGUGAAACCAGCCCAGCCGUGGGGCCUUGGCUGUAGCCAGCAUAACGCAUCACCAUCACGAGAUAAGAGAGGGAGAGGGAGAGGGAUCGAGAGGAUAAGGCAGCC